Molecule: ribosomal RNA, 570 nt
Filed under: Shigella flexneri
Lineage: Bacteria; Pseudomonadati; Pseudomonadota; Gammaproteobacteria; Enterobacterales; Enterobacteriaceae
Description: bacterial SSU rRNA
Rfam family: Bacterial small subunit ribosomal RNA
Source: RNAcentral
AAAUUGAAGAGUUUGAUCAUGGCUCAGAUUGAACGCUGGCGGCAGGCCUAACACAUGCAAGUCGAACGGUAACAGGAAACAGCUUGCUGUUUCGCUGACGAGUGGCGGACGGGUGAGUAAUGUCUGGGAAACUGCCCGAUGGAGGGGGAUAACUACUGGAAACGGUAGCUAAUACCGCAUAACGUCGCAAGACCAAAGAGGGGGACCUUCGGGCCUCUUGCUAUCGGAUGUGCCCAGAUGGGAUUAGCUAGUAGGUGGGGUAACGGCUCACCUAGGCGACGAUCCCUAGCUGGUCUGAGAGGAUGACCAGCCACACUGGAACUGAGACACGGUCCAGACUCCUACGGGAGGCAGCAGUGGGGAAUAUUGCACAAUGGGCGCAAGCCUGAUGCAGCCAUGCCGCGUGUAUGAAGAAGGCCUUCGGGUUGUAAAGUACUUUCAGCGGGGAGGAAGGGAGUAAAGUUAAUACCUUUACUCAUUGACGUUACCCGCAGAAGAAGCACCGGCUAACUCCGUGCCAGCAGCCGCGGUAAUACGGAGGGUGCAAGCGUUAAUCGGAAUUACUGGGCG